Molecule: long non-coding RNA, 2389 nt
Organism: Sciurus carolinensis (gray squirrel)
Lineage: Eukaryota; Metazoa; Chordata; Mammalia; Rodentia; Sciuridae
Exons: 3
Source: RefSeq, a predicted model, not a curated record
ACCACGUGUCCACUCUCUUGAAGGCAAGUCCAAAUCACUUAUGGCAUCUUUAUGGAAACUCAAAAUUAAAUGGAAAUAUGACUAUGAGGCCAUCAGCUAAAAAGCAUUGGCUUCUCAUGGGGGAUUCUGCUUUUUAUUCCUCCCCCUCUCUCAUCUGUAUCAUCUUUCAGAUCAUUGUCCUUGAAGAAAUCUCCCUUGGGCCUUUCCCGCUGCAGUUCUUGGAAGGCCAGCUUUGGUAACAGGUAGUAAAUUAUCUAGAUCACAGAACUAAAUUUAACAAGAGGUCUGAUAUUGUGAAUGUAUCACCAUGAGAUGAAUAUGGUGGCAGCAACUUUGCAAGAACUGGCCCAAACUGGUUAUCUGUGAAUGGCUGUGUAGACCAGGGGUCUGGAGAAGAAAUGCAAAUUACAGUGGAGUUGAUGAGCUGAAUUAUAUCUAGAAAUUUGUAACUGGGUGUCCAUUCUAAGAAUACCACCAGAUGAGGAAUGAGAUGGAGAAAAGAAUUCUCUGGUGUAGAUUAAUGGUGACUUUAUACACUUGGAGGAACUAGCUCUUCAUAAACCAGAUUUGGAUGAAGAAGGACUAGAAGAGUGGAACGACCAUGAUGGAGAUCCUGAAAGAUUGCAACUUUUUAGAAACAAACUCUUUUUCUGCCUUUUCUCAACUCUCUGCUGAAAGACCAACAGCUGGGCCCAUGCUGCAUGCAGAUGAGGAAUUAAGACUUUCUCAUAGGAGGAAGAAAACCAAAAGCAAUUCAUUUAAUGCAUUUUAUUGAUUAUACGGCUCAUAUACUUCCUGAGUUCGAGAUAGCACAUGUCCAUUCUCCUGACGGCAAGUUCAAAUCAUCCUUGGCAUCUUUAUGGUAUCUUUCUCUUCUUUAGAAGAGCCAAGUAAAGGAUGGGGAGAUGGUGUGUGUGUGUGUGUGUGUGUGUGAGUAGGGGAGGAACAGAGAGAGGGAAAAGGAGAGAGAGAAGGAAAAAACACUUCAGCGCUGAAAGGAAUUAGUCUUUGAAGGCAAAGGCAGGGUCUGGGAAAAGUCAGAGUCCUUAUAGUGUAGUUGUUAGGAAACAGGUUCUGGAGAUUUCAGGGUCAGCAUGAGGAAGAAUAUCCUUUGGCUAGUUUUGAAUAUCUUGAUAUUUGUUUCCAAAGAAACAGUUCCCCAAAGAUCUUAUUUUCCACAAAAGAAAGAGACACUGAGAAAAAGGGGUGGCUAGCCUCUGAGGGAUCAAUGGGGCUAAGAAGAGAAAAUAAGCUUUUCAGACUGAGAAGGAGAUGUGCUCGAUGUGCAGCGUGGACUUCUUUAAACCUGCUGGUUUUAGCGUAUCUUGGCUGCAGCCUCUGUGCUGUGGAGGAGAAGCUGUACUAGAGGAAGAACCGAGAGGGGUGUUUUACAGAUUGUUCCCUUCAGUCGGACAGGGGGGCACUAGAGGCUCCUUAGGGUGUUAGCAAGCUGGGUCUGCACAGAAGACAAAGAUUAUUUUGUUCCAGAGGUCCCCGGAUUUGGGGCUCUGAGUCUCCCUCAACAGCAGAAGUUUUUUCCCCUGGUGAGUUUAGGUAGGAAGCUUCAUUUUCUAGUCUCUGUACUUCAGCUGUUGGUAAUUUACAGGGCAACGACUUUUAUCCGGCCUGCCCAGAAAUCUCUGGGCACCUUAAACCAAUUACAACUCUUCACUCCUGUUACAGAUUUAAAAAUGUAUCUGGGAUAAUGUCAAACAGCAUUGAGAACAGACUUCGGGCCUCAAAUAAAGCAUCAGUGACCUUCUUACCCUCAAUUUUCCCUGGAUGUCAGGACACCCCUCCACAGGGUGAAGGAGUAUAUAAAUUUAAUCUGGUUGUUCAUAGCAGGGUUGAACGGAGGGACCAAUCAGUUGUCACUCUGGGCAGUGACAAGCUCACAGCCCUGUCAGUAAUGGGCAAUGGAGCACAAGCUGCCAUUAGAUGCAUCCAUGUCACCUGAGGAAGAGGGAAAGUGGGGGUGCAGAAAUCCUCACCAGAGUGCCUUGGUUAGGAUGAUUCGCACACAGCUUGAGAGGAAGUGAACCCCCCUAAACAGUGAAAAGGUCCAUUCCUGAAUCUGUUGGCGGAUUCCUAUCCUACCAUAUUUUUAGGAGAUGUGGGCAACUGUUUGGCAGGUAUGAUCCUCUGCAUCUCUCUCUCUUCAAAUCUCAACCCGUUCGCUUAUCGGAAGGUUAAUGUGUUCUCUUAUUCAAAGUGUGGCCCACAAAUCAGCAUCCUCAGUAUCAAUUAGGAGUCUGUUAGAAAUGCAGAAAUCUCAGACCACUCCACACCUCAGGAAUCUGAAUCUGCAUUUGAACAAGAGUUUAUGAUGAUUCGUAUGCAUAUUAAUCGCUUUGCGUAUAAUGCUGUAAACUACUUUUACUGGAAACAA